This 371-nucleotide ribosomal RNA is filed under the name uncultured bacterium. RNAcentral's name for it is "bacterial SSU rRNA". It matches the Rfam family "Bacterial small subunit ribosomal RNA", at positions 527 to 896 of the family's 1533-position model. The record is from RNAcentral.
GGAGGGGGCUAGCGUUAUUCGGAAUUAUUGGGCGUAAAGGGCGUGUAGGCGGCUUCGUGUGUCCCAUGUGAAAGCCCUCGGCUCAACCGGGGAACUGCAUGGGAAACUGCGGAGCUUGAGUCCGGGAGAGGUGAGUGGAAUUCCCAGUGUAGCGGUGAAAUGCGUAGAUAUUGGGAGGAACACCGGUGGCGAAGGCGGCUCACUGGACCGGUACUGACGCUGAGACGCGAAAGCCAGGGGAGCAAACGGGAUUAGAUACCCCGGUAGUCCUGGCUGUAAACGAUGAGAACUUGGUGUGGCGGGUAUCGACCCCUGCCGUGCCGAAGCUAACGCAUUAAGUUCUCCGCCUGGGGAGUACGGCCGCAAGGCUG